This 512-nucleotide ribosomal RNA is filed under the name uncultured bacterium. RNAcentral describes it as "partial 16S ribosomal RNA". It matches the Rfam family "Bacterial small subunit ribosomal RNA", at positions 28 to 507 of the family's 1533-position model. The record is from RNAcentral.
GACGAACGCUGGCGGCGUGCCUAAUACAUGCAAGUCGAGCGAGCGGAACUAACAGAUUUACUUCGGUAAUGACGUUAGGAAAGCGAGCGGCGGAUGGGUGAGUAACACGUGGGGAACCUGCCCCAUAGUCUGGGAUACCACUUGGAAACAGGUGCUAAUACCGGAUAAGAAAGCAGAUCGCAUGAUCAGCUUUUAAAAGGCGGCGUAAGCUGUCGCUAUGGGAUGGCCCCGCGGUGCAUUAGCUAGUUGGUAAGGUAAAGGCUUACCAAGGCGAUGAUGCAUAGCCGAGUUGAGAGACUGAUCGGCCACAUUAGGACUGAGACACGGCCCAAACUCCUACGGGAGGCAGCAGUAGGGAAUCUUCCACAAGGGACGCAAGUCUGAUGGAGCAACGCCGCGUGAGUGAAGAAGGUUUUCGGAUCGUAAAGCUCUGUUGUUGGUGAAGAAGGAUAGAGGUAGUAACUGGCCUUUAUUUGACGGUAAUCAACCAGAAAGUCACGGCUAACUACGUG